CUCUGUAAUGACCAGCAGGGGGAGACUGCUGUGGUUCCAAAAUGAUUGUGCAGAAAGUCGUGAGAAAAUGAGGCCAGUGCUCAGUUGACGUGUGACCUCAAUGUGCACUUCUCCAAUAGGAGAGUCUUACUUAAUACAGCAGCAUUUUUUUGUAAGCUACAUUCCCUUUUAGAGUAAAACAGAAGCUAAAAGCGUGAGUAUGCAGUGUCCUGCAGCUUAUUUCUGCUAGCUGCUCUUCCUUUCUUGCUUAUGACUUCUGGUGUCACGGUUUGCGGUGGCAGACGAUGGAGUAGCAGAGAAGGAGGACUCGAAAGCAAGACUUUUAAGGUGACAGUGGAUUUAUUUACAGAAGUGCCCAAUGAAUCAGUCUUUACAAGUCCCAUGCACUGUGGGUGUGCCUGGUAACGCACCGCUCCGCUCCCGAUACCUAGUGAAGACAGAACACACUUACUGGUGACUACACUGUCCUUCCUUUUAGCAAAAGCUUUUCCAACUAGCAGGCCACAGCUAUACUGACGAGUCUGACACAAUAAUCCCACGCUGACCAGAGCUCGGCCACACCCUUAAGUAGAGUGCUCCUGAUGAGGCCAUCAGCUGCAGCUGGUGACGGCUGACGAGCGGCAGGUGUGGCAGCCUCCAGUGUGGAACACUUCCGGGGUCGCGCAAAUGAACAAAAACACACACAGCGAGACAGAGAAAAAGGGAGCGAGAACAAAAUACUAAACGUGAAAAAUAAACCUAUUAAUAAAGACCUCCCAGACAGGAUGACCCGCGAGGAUCACCAGCCUGAGUACAGGAGCUCAGAGAUUUCCAGAUUACAGAGGAGACAACUUGAAAAGAUGAAACUUUCUGAAGAAAAAUAGUCCUGUGUUUGGAUCCACAUCCUGCCUGUGACACAGCACACAGCAUGACAAAAAUAAAGUUUUCUAAAAAAGUUUUGGCCUUCUAGGGCUACUACAACAAUGACGAGUUAGACUAGAGAGGAUUACCAAUACAUUCUGUCUGAAAUUAUGAUAGGAAUUAAAUUUAAAUGACAUUGUAUUGACUAAAAAUAAAUGAGAUGAA
This is a long non-coding RNA of Oreochromis niloticus (Nile tilapia), 1065 nucleotides long. RefSeq lists it as uncharacterized. The record is from RefSeq and is a predicted model, not a curated record. Lineage: Eukaryota; Metazoa; Chordata; Actinopteri; Cichliformes; Cichlidae. The transcript has 3 exons.